Mustela lutreola (European mink) is the source of this 3815-nucleotide long non-coding RNA. RefSeq lists it as uncharacterized. NCBI's taxonomy places the organism in Eukaryota, Metazoa, Chordata, Mammalia, Carnivora, Mustelidae. The record is from RefSeq and is a predicted model, not a curated record. The transcript is spliced from 3 exons.
UACUCUUCCAUCUGUAGAAUGUGGAUACAUGUUAAUGCUCUAACCUUCAGGCAUCCUUGAGUCUGGGGUUUUCUGCUGGGAUCUGGCCUCCAGCAACUUCCGGGAAGCCACAUUUGGAAGAGCGGCCAUGGGCCGGGCAGCUAAGGCAUGGAAGGAUGUGGAAGGUUCAGGAUCUUGGCGGCAAGUCUGGGGUCCUUGCAGAGGAAGGAGUUGAUCGAAUGCAAGUCCAGGACUGAAUCUUUGUUAAAGGAAUAAGGACAGAGAAUUCAUCUCCAGGGUCCAAGUACUUGUUCUGAGCAAAUGAUACAUCGUAAUUAAACACUAAUAUAUGAAGCACCCAGAGUUUAAAAUGAUUUUCGACAGUUAAUUCUAAUUAGCAUGUGAAGACCAUAAGGGCAAGAAUCAUUAUCCACUCAAGCAGUCCACAGAGGCUGCCCCGGGCCACAGGGUCACCUUGUACAUCUGCCCAGACCCUCCGGAUCCUUCCUUCUCCAGAGCCAGCAGAGCUGGAGGAUGCACGGAGACGCACGGGCAUGCUGACAACACCUCGCACCAAGGGGACUGUGGUGGUGGAGCUGAGACGUGCGCAGCGACAGAAGUCCUGGGCUGUUUCACUCUUCCCGCUCUUCUGGAAGCCUUCCGUGGGAGGUUUUAUCGCAAUACUGCUAUUCACUGAAAGCGUGUCCUGAGUAACAAGAAAACCCUGCUACAUGUCGCUGGCACUAGGACACGGGUUGCACUAACACCCAGUGGUCUGUUAUCAGGUGUAGCAGAUAAGGGUGGGCCCUCGGAGCCCCAUCAGCGGGAUUCAAAUCCCAGCUCUGCCCGCUCUGGGCUGUGACUUUUUGGGCACGUUUCAUUAUCCUGGGUCCCAGGUCCUCAACCAAAAAAUGGGGACAGGAGAAGGGCCCUGUCUCGUAGGACUGUUACCAUGAUGAAAUUGUACCAAUAAAUGUCCUGAGCUUAGCUUACUGAUACUCAGCAACUUUUUCAUGUGGACUGAUAGCAUGACUGGCUGAGCUUAGGAAUAGGAAUUCAGAGAGGAAGGAACUUCUCCAACGCCGGCCUGGUCGCCUCAGUCUGGGAGCUUCCCAAGGAGGGUUUGUAGACAGGCUUGACUUGAUGUAAAUUGCUGCUGUGGGGUCCAAUGAAGGCUGAAGCUAUUUGCAAUGUACCGUGUAGCCACUGGAAGUGUCCAUAGCUUCCUACAGGACACUGCGCUGCGUCACGUUCCCGUGAGUAGGGGAGCCGAGCGCCAGUCUGUGUGGGUUAUAUCUGGAAUGAUCCAACUUCAGGUGGAACUCAACUUGCUUAGGGACUUCGGAUGAAGAUGGACAACAGGUCCCUGACACAGACCCUGGCUGGCCACUGCUCCGACUCUUAGUUCCACAUGUGUGCACGUGAUUUAUUAAGUCUGUAAUGCAAUCAGUAUUUGUUAGAGUAAAUAACAUCCAUUUCAAUUUCUGCUGAGGAAUGACCUUCUGUUGUCCUAACAGAUGCUGCCCGGAGCGUAGGCACAUAGAUCUCCAGGUACCGGGGGUGUCGCCAGUAUCCCUAAUGUUAAUGCAACACGACAUGGGUAAGAUGAGUGGCCGCGUGUACGAAGUGGCAGGAAGGAAUGUGUGAAAUGCAGCUGCUUUAUUGGGACAACUUUCCCUUCCAUUGAGUUAACUGCAGAGGCUUUUCAAGUUGUGCAAAAAGACCAAAUAAAAUCCAAUAUGCUUUGGGGAAAACAGGGAUACGAAUUAAGCAUCUCUUCUCUUAGUAAAAACAUUCUGAUUAUAAAAGGCUACAUGCCUUCUGACCACUGAGACAGAAGCCACACUUCCUACCUUGGCCCACGGAGUUCACUGUUGCUACUUCGUCUCGGUUCCAGCCACCGCGGCCUUCUGCAAACAGUCAAGCUUUUCCACCUUGUGUGUCUGCGGCCCCUUGUGUGUCUUGGAGACACCUGGUCCUCACUGCCUAUGUCAUGGUCAUUGCCAUCUCUCAGGAAGUCCAGUGGAAUUGCAGAGUCUCAGUGCUGUGAAUGGGAUGUGUCUCCAGUGUCUCUUCCACGGCACCCACGGGGGCAUCGCGCACGGCCUGGGGCCUCCAUGGUCAUCGGCCUGAACCUGCUCUUGCUGUCAUUGACUCAUGUCGCAUUUUAAGGCUGAUAAAAGCAUGAAAUGAAAUAUGCUCUGCUCCAGCUCCUGUUCUCAAGAAAAAUAUUUCAACCUCGCCGUUGGUUAGGGCUUUAUUGAUUCUGAAUUGGAGUGAGGUGGGAAACAGGAGUGUACUACGGGUUUGAUCUGAGAACGUGGGGGAGCCAAUCUAUCUAAAUCAGGGCUGUGCCUUCUUCCCAACUCAAAACUCGUUAGCAUAUCGAGAGAGACAGUUCUCCAGUCUCUCUUUCUCUUACUCUGACAAACCCACUCUGGUGGUGCUUGUCUCUCCAUGUGUCUCCCAAGACUGUCGGAUUUCUGGUCUCCUGUUGAGUUGGGCUGCUGGUGACUGGACAGCCGUGGCUGGCGAUGUCACUGCAGGGCGUCCACGCUCUGUCUCCAUGACGAGGCCUGACACUCCGCUCUGCUUCUCCCUUUUGCUUAGAAGAACGAGGGAGGGAAUGUCUACAGGAAAACCAUCACACUUGAGGGGAUGGGCAGGCUACUGCAUGAGAACAUUAAAGAAAUGCAUCCAUUAAUGAUUGAGUGACUGUGGACAUCUCACUGUGGGUGUUAAUGGGUGCUGUGGAUGGAGUACCAGAAGCCUCUUCAUCCAGGUCUGGUAAGGGGCACGUAAGGGUGCUCCUGGAGCUUGAGUAGGAUUCAGAAGUCCUAUUUCACCUGGAGGUAGUGGGAAUGAUGCUGACAAGGAGGGCUAGCUCAGCUCAUGUGUGUCGAGCACUGGGUUCAGCUAUUACCUGUCUGACCUUGGUUUACUCUUCCAAGGAGACAGUUACCAUUCUUAGUCCAUUUUAGAGAACAGGAUAUCUAAAAUUGAAGAAUCAGACAACUUACACGAAAUGGCAAAGAAGUGAAGCAAUGGAUCUGAAACUGAAGCCCAGGUCUGCCUGAUGAAGGAGUCUGUCCAAAUUCACCAUCAUGGUGUCUCAGGUCAAGGCAUUGAAGGGUAAUUCUGGAUUGUUUUGUUUUGUUUUGUUUUGCAUUAGGCAUCGUGGGAGACAAGUAUGGUGCUCUGGGCUAUUUGGUAGAAUCAGAUUAACUCCAGAAGGCACAUGGAGCGUCAGACACUUUGGGCAGCUGUGGCUGCUGCUACCACCUGCUAACCCAACAUGAGCUCCUGGGUGACCACUUCUCCACCGCCCCAGGUCACUUCAGGAGGAAUACAGGACAGAGUCUUACUCUGUGUUUGUAAUAGAGAACUCGUAUGGGGGAGAGUGGCAGGGAGCAGAUGUCACUUGGCCAGAUUAAAACAGGGCUAACGUGAGCAAUGUUGGCCUGUGAUUCCUAGAAGUCCUAUGUAAACCCCUCAGGGAAUCAUUGGUUUCAGGAGUAGAAAGUGAGGUUGGGAAAUGCUAAGAUCCUCGGGCAGAUGAGAUCUUGGAGGCUGACUCCUGGCCAAUGUUAGCCUGCAUAUUUUCAAGUUUAUUGUGUCAUACUGUUUGAAAUCAACAGGCUUACAAAGUGGUGAAUCUUUUGUGUUGCCUAUGAAUUCCCUAAAAAAUACCAAAUGCCUUUUGAAGUUGGGAACAUAUUACUGAAAAUUUGUUUCAAACAUUCUCUAACAGUUAGCAUAAACUGCACCGAGGAAGUGGCAGUUUUAUUUGGAUAGAAGUGAAAAGAUGGAGAAGGCAAGAUGGCAUCGGUCCGGCA